UUGCUCAUGUAAUCGCUGCAUCAUUUUGGAUGUAGAGGAAAGUCCAUGCUCACACGAGCUGCGAUGCUCGUAGUGUUCGUGCUUGACGAAGUCAUAAGUCAAGGUAGCUAUAAUGCUAACGGCAGAUAUGAUACCCUAAGUUAUCUAUUGAUAAUAUGGAUUCAUUCUUGAAAGUGCCACAGUGACGUAGCUAGAUUGGAAACAUUCUAGGUGGAACGCGGUAAACCCCACGAGUGAGCAACCCAAAUUAAUGGUAGGGGCAUCCUUUAGUAGGGAAAUAGAACCGAAAAAGGGACAGAUUAUCGUCUGUAGAUAGAUGAUUACAACCGGCGUACAAGGUUGACCACCGAUUGUAGUACAAUGGUACAGAACAUGGCUUAUCGAG
Molecule: RNase P RNA, 385 nt
Filed under: Oceanobacillus kimchii
Lineage: Bacteria; Bacillati; Bacillota; Bacilli; Caryophanales; Bacillaceae
Also listed under: 3 other names
Description: RNase P RNA component class B
Rfam family: Bacterial RNase P class B
About the family: Ribonuclease P (RNase P) is a ubiquitous endoribonuclease, found in archaea, bacteria and eukarya as well as chloroplasts and mitochondria. Its best characterised activity is the generation of mature 5'-ends of tRNAs by cleaving the 5'-leader elements of precursor-tRNAs.
Source: RNAcentral